Molecule: ribosomal RNA, 482 nt
Filed under: uncultured bacterium
Lineage: Bacteria
Description: partial 16S ribosomal RNA
Rfam family: Bacterial small subunit ribosomal RNA
Source: RNAcentral
AUUGAACGCUGGCGGCAUGCCUUACACAUGCAAGUCGAACGGUAACGGGCCUUCGGGUGCCGACGAGUGGCGAACGGGUGAGUAAUACAUCGGAACGUGCCCGAUCGUGGGGGAUAACGAGGCGAAAGCUUUGCUAAUACCGCAUACGAUCUACGGAUGAAAGCAGGGGACCGCAAGGCCUUGCGCGGACGGAGCGGCCGAUGGCAGAUUAGGUAGUUGGUGGGAUAAAAGCUUACCAAGCCGACGAUCUGUAGCUGGUCUGAGAGGAUGAUCAGCCACACUGGGACUGAGACACGGCCCAGACUCCUACGGGAGGCGGCAGUGGGGAAUUUUGGACAAUGGGCGCAAGCCUGAUCCGGCCAUGCCGCGUGCAGGAUGAAGGCCUUCGGGUUGUAAACUGCUUUUGUACGGAACGAAAAGCCUUCUUUUAAUACAGGAGGGUCAUGACGGUACCGUAAGAAUAAGCACCGGCUAACUACGUG